GAAAACGUGAUGUCCAAGUACCA
Molecule: non-coding RNA, 23 nt
Filed under: Arabidopsis thaliana (thale cress)
Lineage: Eukaryota; Viridiplantae; Streptophyta; Magnoliopsida; Brassicales; Brassicaceae
Source: RNAcentral